AUCACCUGUAGCUCAGAUGGUUAGAGCAUGGUGCUGAUAACGACAAGGACACAGGUUUGAUCCCUAUAUGGGACA
Molecule: non-coding RNA, 75 nt
Organism: Podarcis lilfordi (Lilford's wall lizard)
Lineage: Eukaryota; Metazoa; Chordata; Lepidosauria; Squamata; Lacertidae
Source: the annotation of a GenBank genome assembly